GAUGAACGCUGGCGGCGUGCCUAAUACAUGCAAGUCGAGCGAACAGACGAGGAGCUUACUCCUCUGACGUUAGCGGCGGACGGGUGAGUAACACGUGGAUAACCUACCUAUAAGACUGGGAUAACUUCGGGAAACCGGAGCUAAUACCGGAUAACAUGUUGAACCGCAUGGUUCAACAGUGAAAGACGGUCUUGCUGUCACUUAUAGAUGGAUCCGCGUCGCAUUAGCUAGUUGGUAAGGUAACGGCUUACCAAGGCAACGAUGCGUAGCCGACCUGAGAGGGUGAUCGGCCACACUGGAACUGAGACACGGUCCAGACUCCUACGGGAGGCAGCAGUAGGGAAUCUUCCGCAAUGGGCGAAAGCCUGACGGAGCAACGCCGCGUGAGUGAAGAAGGUCUUCGGAUCGUAAAACUCUGUUAUUAGGGAAGAACAAAUGUGUAAGUAACUAUGCACGUCUUGACGGUACCUAAUCAGAAAGCCACGGCUAACUACGUGCCAGCAGCCGCGGUAAUACGUAGGUGGCAAGCGUUAUCCGGAAUUAUUGGGCGUAAAGCGCGCGUAGGCGGUUUUUUAAGUCUGAUGUGAAAGCCCACGGCUCAACCGUGGAGGGUCAUUGGAAACUGGAAAACUUGAGUGCAGAAGAGGAAAGUGGAAUUCCAUGUGUAGCGGUGAAAUGCGCAGAGAUAUGGAGGAACACCAGUGGCGAAGGCGACUUUCUGGUCUGUAACUGACGCUGAUGUGCGAAAGCGUGGGGAUCAAACAGGAUUAGAUACCCUGGUAGUCCACGCCGUAAACGAUGAGUGCUAAGUGUUAGGGGGUUUCCGCCCCUUAGUGCUGCAGCUAACGCAUUAAGCACUCCGCCUGGGGAGUACGACCGCAAGGUUGAAACUCAAAGGAAUUGACGGGGACCCGCACAAGCGGUGGAGCAUGUGGUUUAAUUCGAAGCAACGCGAAGAACCUUACCAAAUCUUGACAUCCUCUGACCCCUCUAGAGAUAGAGUUUUCCCCUUCGGGGGACAGAGUGACAGGUGGUGCAUGGUUGUCAUCAGCUCGUGUCGUGAGAUGUUGGGUUAAGUCCCGCAACGAGCGCAACCCUUAAGCUUAGUUGCCAUCAUUAAGUUGGGCACUCUAAGUUGACUGCCGGUGACAAACCGGAGGAAGGUGGGGAUGACGUCAAAUCAUCAUGCCCCUUAUGAUUUGGGCUACACACGUGCUACAAUGGACAAUACAAAGGGUAGCGAAACCGCGAGGUCAAGCAAAUCCCAUAAAGUUGUUCUCAGUUCGGAUUGUAGUCUGCAACUCGACUACAUGAAGCUGGAAUCGCUAGUAAUCGUAGAUCAGCAUGCUACGGUGAAUACGUUCCCGGGUCU
This 1372-nucleotide ribosomal RNA is filed under the name uncultured bacterium. Its description in RNAcentral is "bacterial SSU rRNA". It matches the Rfam family "Bacterial small subunit ribosomal RNA", at positions 28 to 1381 of the family's 1533-position model. The record is from RNAcentral.